This 94-nucleotide transfer RNA is filed under the name Methylibium sp. T29. RNAcentral's name for it is "tRNA-Pro". RNAcentral also lists the same sequence under 1 other name. The record is from RNAcentral. Lineage: Bacteria; Pseudomonadati; Pseudomonadota; Betaproteobacteria; Burkholderiales; Sphaerotilaceae.
CGCGAUUUUAGGUGGAGGGCCUUGUCGCGCCCUGGGAGGGCUUGCGCCGGGGUCGGCUCAGGACGGGUCGGGGAUCGCCGCCGCGAGGCGCGGC